AGUGAACGCUGGCGGUAGGCCUAACACAUGCAAGUCGAACGGCAGCACAGUAAGAGCUUGCUCUUACGGGUGGCGAGUGGCGGACGGGUGAGGAAUACAUCGGAAUCUACUUUUUCGUGGGGGAUAACGUAGGGAAACUUACGCUAAUACCGCAUACGACCUACGGGUGAAAGCAGGGGAUCUUCGGACCUUGCGCGAUUGAAUGAGCCGAUGUCGGAUUAGCUAGUUGGCGGGGUAAAGGCCCACCAAGGCGACGAUCCGUAGCUGGUCUGAGAGGAUGAUCAGCCACAAUGGAACUGAGACACGGUCCAGACUCCUACGGGAGGCAGCAGUGGGGAAUAUUGGAAAAUGGGCGCAAGCCUGAUCCAGCCAUACCGCGUGGGUGAAGAAGGCCUUCGGGUUGUAAAGCCCUUUUGUUGGGAAAGAAAAGCAGCAGGUUAAUACCCCGCUGUUCUGACGGUACCCAAAGAAUAAGCACCGGCUAACUUCGUG
RNAcentral lists this ribosomal RNA (492 nucleotides) under uncultured bacterium. RNAcentral describes it as "partial 16S ribosomal RNA". It matches the Rfam family "Bacterial small subunit ribosomal RNA", at positions 29 to 507 of the family's 1533-position model. The record is from RNAcentral.